RNAcentral lists this ribosomal RNA (520 nucleotides) under uncultured bacterium. Its description in RNAcentral is "bacterial SSU rRNA". It matches the Rfam family "Bacterial small subunit ribosomal RNA", at positions 8 to 521 of the family's 1533-position model. The record is from RNAcentral.
AGAGUUUGAUCCUGGCUCAGAACAAACGCCGGCGGCGUGUCUUAAGCAUGCAAGUCGAGCGGCAAGGGCAGCAAUGCCCCUAGAGCGGCGGACUGGUGAGUAACGCGUGGGUGAUCUACCUUUGGCAUGGGGAUAGCCAUUAGAAAUAGUGGGUAAUACCGAAUACGUUCGUCACCGUGAGGGUGACGAGGAAAGGUGCUACGGCACCGGCCGGAGAUGAGCCUGCGUCCGAUUAGCUAGUUGGUGAGGUAAAGGCCCACCAAGGCUAUGAUCGGUAGGCGGCCUGAGAGGGUGUACGCCCACAUUGGGACUGAGAUACGGCCCAAACUCCUACGGGAGGCAGCAGCUAAGAAUAUUCCGCAAUGGACGAAAGUCUGACGGAGCGACGCCGCGUGGAUGAUGAAGGCCGAAAGGUUGUAAAGUCCUUUUGCUGGGGAAGAAUAAGUCUGGGAGGGAAUGCCCGGAUGAUGUCAUGAACCGGCGAAUAAGCCCCGGCUAGCUACGUGCCAGCCGCCGCGGU